This 300-nucleotide ribosomal RNA is filed under the name Triticum aestivum (bread wheat). RNAcentral describes it as "partial small subunit ribosomal RNA". Lineage: Eukaryota; Viridiplantae; Streptophyta; Magnoliopsida; Poales; Poaceae. The record is from RNAcentral.
AUGAAUCAGCAACCAGCCCCAGUGACUCUGCAAAACUUUGCGCGUCUCAAUCCUGCCAUCUACCGCAGCUUAGCUCAGCCCCUUGAUGUUGAUGACUGGCUCCUUGACAUCACUUUCGAGUGGGAGUCUACUGAUGUAGCCCCUACCAACUAUGUCACCUUCGCGACUUAUUACCUGAAAGGUCCCUCUGCUCAAUGGUGGGACAGCCACAGGCGUUUCUUACCUCUUGGAUCCGCCAUCACUUGGCCGAAAUUCCAAGCUGCUUUUCGCGGGCUAAUGUUGGACCACCAUGGUAAGUGA